This is a long non-coding RNA of Vicia villosa (hairy vetch), 1516 nucleotides long. RefSeq lists it as uncharacterized. NCBI's taxonomy places the organism in Eukaryota, Viridiplantae, Streptophyta, Magnoliopsida, Fabales, Fabaceae. The record is from RefSeq and is a predicted model, not a curated record. The transcript has 3 exons.
UCAUAUGCUGUCUAUUGAUAUUUAUUCAUCCUUUCCCAAAUUUUCUUUUUCCACGCCGCCGGACAAUAGCAGCCCACAAUUUAAGGCUCUUUUCCCAAAUUCAUGAGCUAUUCAUCUUCCUUCUCAACAUCCCAUUACUCUGGAAGGUUUCAGUUCAAAAAAAAAUUGCAUUCACGAUGCAAUUUCUUGGUUUUUCAAGGUUUGCAUCAUUAAUUUUAUUUUCUAUGGUUUUUUCUUUCGAACUAUUUGGAUUGACUGCUUAUUCUACAUGUAUAAAUACGACCUACCUCAUUUCCAGUUCUUCAUCCCCUUUGAACCGUUUUUCUUUUUUCUUACGAUUAUAAUUUUUCCUUUAUUUACGAUUUACAAUGGCAGCCGCAAGACGCGAUUUUGCCUUCGUUUACUUCAAGGACUUAAUCCAAUAUGUAUUUGAGCUUCAAGAUGGGCAUGGUGUAGUUAUUAGUGGUGCUAUGAUUGACAAUGAUGCAGGCACCAUUAAGGAUUAUUGGAAAUUCUUAUACUAACAUGGAACCACUUAAAAGUACUUUCUAUAAUUCCUAUACUAACAUGAGAACCUCUCUGAAGUGGCCUAAAAUUAUCUGUCUUUUUUCAGGUUUUUAAGGAAUCCAUAAACGAGGUCAAUACUCUUACAACUUUGCAACAUCCAAACCUUUGUAAAUUACUAGGUUUUUACGCGCGUGAGAGUUUAUAAUAUAGAAUGUUAGUUUAUGAAAGGCUAUACCAUGGAAGCUUGGACUGCCUACUGUAUGGUAGAUCUGAUAAACCAUCAAUUGAUUGGAAUACAAGAAUGAAAAUUGCAAUGUGUGUUGCACUAAGUCCUACUUUUUUACAUGAAGAAUGUCAUUUUCAGGUUUUGAAAAUGUUUAGAAAGUGGCAGACAUGCACCAGGAACCAAAUAAGAACAAGGUAAAGGAUCAAAGAAUCAAAACAGUACCCUUUUGCAAGGUUUUCUAUUUUGCAGACUCUUGGGAUUAUUUUCUUAUGAUUGUUGGAACUAUAAGUGCUGUUAGAAAUGGAGUCUUUAUGCCUUUAAUGACUAUAAUUAUUGGAGAUACUACUGUUGUUUUUGGAGGAAAUGUAAACACCAAACAAUUAGUUCAUCAAGUCUCCAAGGUCUCUCUCAACUUAUGUUGACAAUAAUAAUUAGGACGAGGACUAAUGUAGAGCCAAUGGUAGAUAGAGAUCGAAGCGGUUUCAUUGAUGAUAGAGGAUUGCAUUUGAAACUAUAUAAUUUGAUCGAUUGUGAUGCAACUGCUGCAAUUAAUAUGAUGAUGCUGCAAAGCUGUUAGACACUUUGCGACUGUUUGAUAGUCUGUUGUAUGGUGUAACCCAUGGACUAUUGCAGCAAGGAAAAUACUACAUGACUUGAGUAGAAACCUUGAUUUGGUGACUUUUACGAACUGUCUUAGUUUUGUAUUGUAGAUGUACUCUUUGAUAUUUUACUUAUGAUGAUAAUAUGGUAAUUGGUAGUUUGAUUAUUUAGGUUUGUUUAUUA